ACGAACGCUGGCGGCGUGCCUAAUACAUGCAAGUUGAGCGCUGAAGGUUGGUACUUGUACCAACUGGAUGAGCAGCGAACGGGUGAGUACCGCGUGGGGAAUCUGCCUUUGAGCGGGGGACAACAUUUGGAAACGAAUGCUAAUACCGCAUAAAAACUUUAAACACAAGUUUUAAGUUUGAAAGAUGCAAUUGCAUCACUCAAAGAUGAUCCCGCGUUGUAUUAGCUAGUUGGUGAGGUAAAGGCUCACCAAGGCGAUGAUACAUAGCCGACCUGAGAGGGUGAUCGGCCACAUUGGGACUGAGACACGGCCCAAACUCCUACGGGAGGCAGCAGUAGGGAAUCUUCGGCAAUGGACGAAAGUCUGACCGAGCAACGCCGCGUGAGUGAAGAAGGUUUUCGGAUCGUAAAACUCUGUUGGUAGAGAAGAACGUUGGUGAGAGUGGAAAGCUCAUCAAGUGACGGUAACUACCCAGAAAGGGACGGCUAACUACGUG
This 496-nucleotide ribosomal RNA is filed under the name uncultured bacterium. RNAcentral describes it as "partial 16S ribosomal RNA". It matches the Rfam family "Bacterial small subunit ribosomal RNA", at positions 29 to 507 of the family's 1533-position model. The record is from RNAcentral.